RNAcentral lists this ribosomal RNA (301 nucleotides) under uncultured bacterium. RNAcentral's name for it is "partial 16S ribosomal RNA". It matches the Rfam family "Bacterial small subunit ribosomal RNA", at positions 509 to 807 of the family's 1533-position model. The record is from RNAcentral.
CAGUCGCCGCGGUAAUGCGUAGGUGGCAAGCGUUGUCCGGAUUUAUUGGGCGUAAAGCGAGCGCAGGCGGUUCCUUAAGUCUGAUGUGAAAGCCCCCGGCUCAACCGGGGAGGGUCAUUGGAAGCUGGGGAACUUGAGUGCAGAAGAGGAGAGUGGAAUUCUAUGUGUAGCGGUGAAAUGCGUAGAUAUAUGGAGGAACACCAGUGGCGAAGGCGACUCUCUGGUCUGUAGCUGACGCUGAGGCUCGAAAGCGUGGGUAGCAAACAGGAUUAGAUACCCCGGUAGUCCCUGUCUCUUAUAC